This 72-nucleotide transfer RNA is filed under the name Blastobotrys adeninivorans. RNAcentral's name for it is "tRNA-Pro". The record is from RNAcentral. Lineage: Eukaryota; Fungi; Ascomycota; Dipodascomycetes; Dipodascales; Trichomonascaceae.
CAGACACAUACUGAAUGGUUAAGUGCCUUCUUUGGGAGAAGGAUCUAGGUAGUUCGAUUCUACCGUGUCUGA